GAGCUUUUAAAGCGGCGGGGAGCUCGGCGCGACCCUCGGGCCCACCGGGCCACGCUCGCCCGGCCCGCGACGCCCCCCCGCUGUCGCCUGGCCCGCGACGCACCGAGGCCUGAGGACCCGAAAGCCGGGCGCGGGGAGAUGACCGGUGGCUCGUGACGGUCCCACGGGCAAAAUCUUCCAUCGCCCGGGGCUGAGACUUGUCAAACUGCCCUCUACGGUCACCCGGAAAGUAGGAGGCUUUUUCUGCAGAGGGGAAAAAAAUCAAAAAGAGCCGUUCCAUCCCCCCUCCAAGGACUGGGUUUGAAUUGCUUUUCAUCUGCAGUGGCUGUGAUUCAGCGUCCCUCUUAGCAGCAGGCAAUGACAGAGGCAGGAGAGGGGAAAAAAAAAAAGAAAGAAAGAAAAAACACAGCAAAUGAAUCAAACGGACGUAGCAGGCAAGAGUGUGGUUAUCGUUGGACCAGGAUUCAGGAUCUGACUGAGUAGCUGACUCUUAAUCCAGUUUGUGUUGAUCACCAGGAGGAUCUGGACCUCAGUAUUACCACAUCUAGAGCUAUAAUCACAUCCCUGUUAAGCCUUCCUGAGAUCACACCAAAUGUCCUUGAUGGGAAUUGUAAACAACCCUUACUUCUGGUUUCUAAUGAUAUUCCAGGAAAGGAGCCUAACUAGAGUCAGUGAUAUGCCAACUCCACCUUUGCCUUCCACCAUGUUUGGAAGCUCCCUGAGGCCUCACCAGGAGCAGAUGCUCGUCCCAUGCUUCCUAUAAGCCUGCAGAACUGGAAAAGAAAGCUGGAUAAAGUAUUUAUAGAAGAUAGAGGACCUGUGGUGGCUCAUGCCUGUAAUCCAAGGUGGAAGGAUUGCUUGAGGCCAGAAGUUCAAGACCAGUCCAAGCAACAUAGCAAGGCCCCAUCUCUACAAAAAAUGAAAAUAAAAUUAGCCGAGCGUGAUGGCUCAUGCCUGUAGUUCUAGCUUCUAGAGAGGCUGAGGCAGGAGGAUUGCUUGAGUCCAGGAGUUCAAGAUUACAGUGAGCUAUGGUCACACCACUGCACUCCAGCCUGGGUGAUGGAGUGAGACUGUCUCAAUAAAAAGACAAAAAGGCUGGCCAGGGGCAGUGGUUCAUGCCUGUAAACCCAGCACUUUGGGAGGCAAAGGCAGGAGGAUUGCUUAAGCCCAGGAAUUUGAGAUCAGCCUGGACAACAUGGUGAGACCCCCAUCUCUACAAAAAUUUUUUUUAAAAGUUACCCAGGCAUGGUGUUGCACAUCUGUGUUCCCAGCUACUGGGGAGGCUGAGACGGGAGGAUCACUUGAGUCCAGGAAGUUGAGAGGUUGAGGCUGCUGUGAGCUGUGAUUGUGCCACUGCACUUUAGCCUGGACAACAGAGGGAGACCCUGUCAACAACAACAACAACAACAAAAAAGCAAAACAUCAUAGGCUGCAGAAAUAAACUUUCUUGUCAAUUGUGUCUUUAACCAUGACCAUUUUGAGUCAUUUCCACAGUGAGUUGCCUAAUUUUGAUGCAUUUCUGAAAACUCUUUAUAAGCAAGUAAAAUCCUAGAGAAUUGUGCCUUCAAGGAGACUCAUGGAAAGGAUGGAAAGAACUCUUGAAUACAUGUUUCUGAUAGCUUUAUGAUCAUAUCAUUUGGACUGGGUAAGAAUUCCCAGAACUCAUGAAGAGACUGACUAUUUAUUAAUCCAAGCAGGAAAAGAAUUAAUUGAAUACCAAGGAAAUACUGUGCCAGAGAUUUUCAUGCUAAAUCAGUCAGCACCGAAAUCGUUAAGAUGUGUAGUUUGAAUGAACUCCAUGAUCCUAGUCAAAUUUCCUAUGAUGACCCAUUUAAUAAACAGUGCUAUGCACCUGAAUUGGAGAAACAGAAUUGAUACUUAAAUCCAAUGUUAAUCAUAGAUUCAUGGAAAGCCUAAAUGGCUGCUUGGGUCUUCCUGAGCCCUUAAAGCUUCCAUUAUUAAA
Long non-coding RNA from Homo sapiens (human), 1963 nucleotides. Ensembl annotates it as RASSF8 antisense RNA 1. Its record names the gene RASSF8-AS1. Lineage: Eukaryota; Metazoa; Chordata; Mammalia; Primates; Hominidae. The record is from Ensembl.